RNAcentral lists this long non-coding RNA (343 nucleotides) under Carica papaya (papaya). RNAcentral describes it as "long non-coding RNA (CPAP_LNC007569)". The record is from RNAcentral. Lineage: Eukaryota; Viridiplantae; Streptophyta; Magnoliopsida; Brassicales; Caricaceae.
GGGAACGAUGUCCUCUUGAUCUGAAAUGAUUAAAUAAGGAAUAGCUACACUAGCCCAGUAAAGACAUCACGAUAUCUCACCGUCACGGAGGUAAAGGUGGGUAGAAAACACAAAAAGACCAAUGGAGCAUAAUUUACAACAAAUCCUUUUAUCGAUAAUAAAACCUUUACCAUUCCCUUACCUCGGUGAAAUUCAUAAAACAAUAUAUGAAAGUAAUAACAUCAUCAUCAUCAUGAAAACAUAUAUAUGAACUGUAUAACAUAAUACCUAUCACACUUUUUGUAAUUUAAUCGUUAACAACAUAUUUUCCUAAUUCACCAGCCCACUAGUAUCCAUGGGGAUC